GAUCCUGUGGCGUAACGGUAGCGCAUCUAACUCCAGAUCUGAAGGUUGUUCGUUCGAAUUGGGCCGGGAUCA
RNAcentral lists this transfer RNA (72 nucleotides) under Perkinsus marinus ATCC 50983. It matches the Rfam family "tRNA". From Rfam's summary of the family: Transfer RNA (tRNA) molecules are approximately 80 nucleotides in length. Their secondary structure includes four short double-helical elements and three loops (D, anti-codon, and T loops). The record is from Rfam by way of RNAcentral. Lineage: Eukaryota; Perkinsozoa; Perkinsida; Perkinsidae.